GCUUGUCUCAAAGAUUAAGCCAUGCAUGUCUAAGUAUAAAUGUUAUACAGUGAAACUGCGAAUGGCUCAUUAAAACAGUUAUAGUUUAUUUGAUAAUCGAAUUUUACAUGGAUAACCGUAGUAAUUCUAGAGCUAAUACAUGCACAAAUCCCCGACUUUGAAGGGGUGUAUUUAUUAGAUGGAAACCAAUGCGGGGUAACCCGGAUACUGGUGAUUCAUAAUAACUUUCGGAUCGGUUUUUAAUCGAUGCAUCAUUCAAGUUUCUGCCCUAUCAGCUUUGGAUGGUAGGGUAUUGGCCUACCAUGGCUUUAACGGGUAACGGAGAAUUAGGGUUCGAUUCCGGAGAGGGAGCCUGAGAAACGGCUACCACAUCUAAGGAAGGCAGCAGG
Molecule: ribosomal RNA, 389 nt
Filed under: Chromophyton rosanoffii
Lineage: Eukaryota; Chrysophyceae; Hibberdiales; Hibberdiaceae
Description: partial small subunit ribosomal RNA
Rfam family: Eukaryotic small subunit ribosomal RNA
Source: RNAcentral